AACGAACGCUGGCGGCAUGCCUAACACAUGCAAGUCGAACGAAGCCUUCGGGCUUAGUGGCGCACGGGUGCGUAACGCGUGGGAAUCUGCCCCUCGGUUCGGAAUAACAGUUAGAAAUGACCGCUAAUACCGGAUGAUGACGAAAGUCCAAAGAUUUAUCGCCGAGGGAUGAGCCCGCGUAGGAUUAGCUUGUUGGUGGGGUAAUGGCCCACCAAGGCGACGAUCCUUAGCUGGUCUGAGAGGAUGAUCAGCCACACUGGGACUGAGACACGGCCCAGACUCCUACGGGAGGCAGCAGUGGGGAAUAUUGGACAAUGGGCGAAAGCCUGAUCCAGCAAUGCCGCGUGAGUGAUGAAGGCCUUAGGGUUGUAAAGCUCUUUUACCAGGGAUGAUAAUGACAGUACCUGGAGAAUAAGCUCCGGCUAACUCCGUGCCAGCAGCCGCGGUAAU
Molecule: ribosomal RNA, 450 nt
Filed under: uncultured bacterium
Lineage: Bacteria
Description: bacterial SSU rRNA
Rfam family: Bacterial small subunit ribosomal RNA
Source: RNAcentral